AGCUCCAAUAGCGUAUCUUAAUGUUGUUGCAGUUAAAAAGCUCGUAUCGAAUUUCUGGCCGGGAGAAGCCGAAUACACUGUGCUUAUCCUAGGUCAUCCGCUCAAGAGGUUAUUCGGGCAUUCACUUGACCCUUUAAUGGAUUGGGCAUUUUACUUUGAAGAAAUUAGAGUGUUUCAGGCAGGCCUUCGCUUGAAUACACCAGCAUGGAAUAAUGGAAUAGGACUAACUUAUUUCUUGGUUCGUAAGUUUGGUAAUGAUUAAUAGGGACAGUUGGGGGCAUUUG
This 284-nucleotide ribosomal RNA is filed under the name uncultured eukaryote. RNAcentral's name for it is "partial small subunit ribosomal RNA". It matches the Rfam family "Eukaryotic small subunit ribosomal RNA", at positions 587 to 894 of the family's 1831-position model. The record is from RNAcentral.